AUUGAACGCUGGCGGCAUGCUUUACACAUGCAAGUCGAACGGCAGCGCGGGCUUCGGCCUGGCGGCGAGUGGCGAACGGGUGAGUAAUGCAUCGGAACGUGCCCAGUAGUGGGGGAUAGCCCGGCGAAAGCCGGAUUAAUACCGCAUACGACCUGAGGGUGAUAGCGGGGGACCGAAAGGCCUCGCGCUAUUGGAGCGGCCGAUGUCGGAUUAGCUAGUUGGUGGGGUAAAGGCUUACCAAGGCGACGAUCCGUAGCUGGUCUGAGAGGACGACCAGCCACACUGGGACUGAGACACGGCCCAGACUCCUACGGGAGGCAGCAGUGGGGAAUUUUGGACAAUGGGGGCAACCCUGAUCCAGCCAUGCCGCGUGCGGGAAGAAGGCCUUCGGGUUGUAAACCGCUUUUGUUCGGGAAGAAAUCCUCUGGGCUAAUACCCCGGGGGGAUGACGGUACCGGAAGAAUAAGCACCGGCUAACUACGUG
This 484-nucleotide ribosomal RNA is filed under the name uncultured bacterium. RNAcentral describes it as "partial 16S ribosomal RNA". It matches the Rfam family "Bacterial small subunit ribosomal RNA", at positions 28 to 507 of the family's 1533-position model. The record is from RNAcentral.